This 492-nucleotide ribosomal RNA is filed under the name uncultured bacterium. Its description in RNAcentral is "partial 16S ribosomal RNA". It matches the Rfam family "Bacterial small subunit ribosomal RNA", at positions 29 to 507 of the family's 1533-position model. The record is from RNAcentral.
AGUGAACGCUGGCGGUAGGCCUAACACAUGCAAGUCGAACGGCAGCACAGUAAGAGCUUGCUCUUACGGGUGGCGAGUGGCGGACGGGUGAGGAAUACAUCGGAAUCUACUUUUUCGUGGGGGAUAACGUAGGGAAACUUACGCUAAUACAGCAUACGACCUACGGGUGAAAGCAGGGGAUCUUCGGACCUUGCGCGAAUGGAUGAGCCGAUGUCGGAUUAGCUAGUUGGCGGGGUAAAGGCCCACCAAGGCGACGAUCCGUAGCUGGUCUGAGAGGAUGAUCGGCCACACUGGAACUGAGACACGGUCCAGACUCCUACGGGAGGCAGCAGUGGGGAAUAUUGGACAAUGGGCGCAAGCCUGAUCCAGCCAUACCGCGUGGGUGAAGAAGGCCUUCGGGUUGUAAAGCCCUUUUGUUGGGAAAGAAAAGCAGCAGGUUAAUACCCCGCUGUUCUGACGGUACCCAAAGAAUAAGCACCGGCUAACUUCGUG